RNAcentral lists this ribosomal RNA (408 nucleotides) under uncultured bacterium. Its description in RNAcentral is "partial 16S ribosomal RNA". It matches the Rfam family "Bacterial small subunit ribosomal RNA", at positions 29 to 526 of the family's 1533-position model. The record is from RNAcentral.
AGUGAACGCUGGCGGCGUGCCUAAUACAUGCAAGUCGAACGGAGUGGCGCACGGGUGAGUAAUGUAUAGCUAAUCUGCCCUACACUAGAGGACAACAGUUGGAAACGACUGCUAAUACUCUAUAGUGUAGGAUGAGGCUAUAUUGUAUCAGCUAGUUGGUGAGGUAAUGGCUCACCAAGGCUAUGACGCAUAACUGGUCUGAGAGGAUGAUCAUUCACACUGGAACUGAGCCACAGUCCGGACUCCUACGGGAGGCAGCGGUAGGUGAUAUUGCUCAAUGGGGGGAGCCCUGAAGCAUCUACGCCGCGUGAAGGAUGUCAUUUUUCGGGGCGUAAACUCCUUUUGUUAAGGAAACGGUACCUAACGAAUAAGCACCGGCUAACUCCGUGCCAGCAGCCGCGGUAAUUC